RNAcentral lists this ribosomal RNA (268 nucleotides) under uncultured Glomus. RNAcentral describes it as "partial small subunit ribosomal RNA". It matches the Rfam family "Eukaryotic small subunit ribosomal RNA", at positions 605 to 877 of the family's 1831-position model. Lineage: Eukaryota; Fungi; Glomeromycota; Glomeromycetes; Glomerales; Glomeraceae. The record is from RNAcentral.
UAAAGUUGUUGCAGUUAAAAAGCUCGUAGUGGAAUUGCGGGAUUAGUACGUUGGUCGUGCCUUCGGUACGUACUGGUGUUACUGAUUCCUACCUUCUGACGAACCAUCAUGUCAUUAAAUUUGGUGUGGCGGGGAAUCAGGACUGUUACUUUGAAAAAAUAAGAGUGUUUAAAGCAGGCUCGCGCUUGAAUACAUUAGCAUGGAAUAAUGAAAUANGACGUUGAUCCUAUUUUGUUGGUUUUUAGGAUUGACGUAAUGAUUAAUAGGG